Molecule: ribosomal RNA, 522 nt
Filed under: Fictibacillus phosphorivorans
Lineage: Bacteria; Bacillati; Bacillota; Bacilli; Caryophanales; Fictibacillaceae
Description: bacterial SSU rRNA
Rfam family: Bacterial small subunit ribosomal RNA
Source: RNAcentral
AGCGAAUGAUGAGGAGCUUGCUCCUCUGAUUUAGCGGCGGACGGGUGAGUAACACGUGGGUAAUCUGCCUGUAAGACGGGGAUAACUCCGGGAAACCGGGGCUAAUACCGGAUAAUAAGAGAAGAAGCAUUUCUUCUUUUUGAAAGUCGGUUUCGGCUGACACUUACAGAUGAGCCCGCGGCGCAUUAGCUAGUUGGUGAGGUAACGGCUCACCAAGGCGACGAUGCGUAGCCGACCUGAGAGGGUGAUCGGCCACACUGGGACUGAGACACGGCCCAGACUCCUACGGGAGGCAGCAGUAGGGAAUCUUCGGCAAUGGGCGAAAGCCUGACCGAGCAACGCCGCGUGAGCGAUGAAGGCCUUCGGGUCGUAAAGCUCUGUUGUUAGAGAAGAACAAGUACGAGAGUAACUGCUCGUACCUUGACGGUACCUAACCAGAAAGCCACGGCUAACUACGUGCCAGCAGCCGCGGUAAUACGUAGGUGGCAAGCGUUAUCCGGAAUUAUUGGGCGUAAAGCGCGC